ACGGAGGGAGCUAGCGUUGUUCGGAAUUACUGGGCGUAAAGCGUACGUAGGCGGUUACUCAAGUCAGAGGUGAAAGCCCGGGGCUCAACCCCGGAACUGCCUUUGAAACUAGGUAGCUAGAAUCUUGGAGAGGUCAGUGGAAUUCCGAGUGUAGAGGUGAAAUUCGUAGAUAUUCGGAAGAACACCAGUGGCGAAGGCGACUCACUGGACAAGUAUUGACGCUGAGGUACGAAAGCGUGGGGAGCAAACAGGAUUAGAUACCCUGGUAGUCCACGCCGUAAACGAUGAUAACUAGCUGUCCGGGCUCUCAGAGCUUGGGUGGCGCAGCUAACGCAUUAAGUUAUCCGCCUGGGGAGUACGGUCGCAAGAUUA
RNAcentral lists this ribosomal RNA (372 nucleotides) under uncultured bacterium. RNAcentral describes it as "bacterial SSU rRNA". It matches the Rfam family "Bacterial small subunit ribosomal RNA", at positions 525 to 896 of the family's 1533-position model. The record is from RNAcentral.